GAUGAACGCUAGCGAUAGGCUUAACACAUGCAAGUCGAGGGGCAGCACAAGGUAGCUUGCUAUCUGGGUGGCGACCGGCGCACGGGUGCGUAACGCGUAUGCAACUUGCCCUAUACAGGAGGAUAACCCGUCGAAAGACGGACUAAUACUGCGUAUGCUCACAACUUGGCAUCAAGUGGUGAGGAAAGAAAUUCGGUAUAGGAUAGGCAUGCGUCCCAUUAGCUUGUUGGUGAGGUAACGGCUCACCAAGGCAACGAUGGGUAGGGGAACUGAGAGGUUUAUCCCCCACACUGGUACUGAGACACGGACCAGACUCCUACGGGAGGCAGCAGUGAGGAAUAUUGGUCAAUGGGCGCGAGCCUGAACCAGCCAAGUCGCGUGAAGGAUGACUGUCUUAUGGAUUGUAAACUUCUUUUAUACGGGAAUAACAAGAGUCACGGGUGACUCCCUGCAUGUACCGUAUGAAUAAGCAUCGGCUAACUCCGUG
This 487-nucleotide ribosomal RNA is filed under the name uncultured bacterium. Its description in RNAcentral is "partial 16S ribosomal RNA". It matches the Rfam family "Bacterial small subunit ribosomal RNA", at positions 28 to 507 of the family's 1533-position model. The record is from RNAcentral.